This 251-nucleotide ribosomal RNA is filed under the name uncultured prokaryote. RNAcentral describes it as "partial 16S rRNA". It matches the Rfam family "Bacterial small subunit ribosomal RNA", at positions 525 to 775 of the family's 1533-position model. The record is from RNAcentral.
ACGGGGGUGGCAAGCGUUGUCCGGAAUCACUAGGCGUAAAGGGCAAGUAGGCGGAAAGAUAAGUCAGUUGUCAAAGGCAUCGGCUCAACCGGUGUAAGGCGAUUGAUACUGUUUUUCUAGAAUUAGGUAGGGGAAGACGGAAUUCCUGGUGUAGCGGUGGAAUGCGCAGAUAUCAGGAAGAACACCAAAGGCGAAGGCAGUCUUCUAUGCCAUAAUUGACGCUCAAUUGCGAAGGUGUGGGUAUCAAACAG